Molecule: small nucleolar RNA, 131 nt
Organism: Rattus rattus (black rat)
Lineage: Eukaryota; Metazoa; Chordata; Mammalia; Rodentia; Muridae
Product: small nucleolar RNA SNORA17
Exons: 1
Source: RefSeq, a predicted model, not a curated record
CCUGCCCAUAGAAAUGAUAUGUAUAUGGCUGCUGUGUCACAUGUGCAUCGGCAGAUGGCAGAGAGGAAAGAGGCUACGUCUACAUUCAAGAUGCUGACCUAUGACCUUCUGAAUAUUAGUAGCCCAACGUU